GCUCCGUUGGUGCAAUGGCUAGCAUCUCGGUCCUUCAAACCGAAGACGACGGAUCGAAACCGUCACGGAGUACCA
Molecule: transfer RNA, 75 nt
Filed under: Bradyrhizobium sp.
Lineage: Bacteria; Pseudomonadati; Pseudomonadota; Alphaproteobacteria; Hyphomicrobiales; Nitrobacteraceae
Description: tRNA-Glu
Rfam family: tRNA
About the family: Transfer RNA (tRNA) molecules are approximately 80 nucleotides in length. Their secondary structure includes four short double-helical elements and three loops (D, anti-codon, and T loops).
Source: RNAcentral